This 371-nucleotide ribosomal RNA is filed under the name uncultured bacterium. Its description in RNAcentral is "bacterial SSU rRNA". It matches the Rfam family "Bacterial small subunit ribosomal RNA", at positions 525 to 896 of the family's 1533-position model. The record is from RNAcentral.
ACGUAGGGUGCGAGCGUUAUCCGGAUUUAUUGGGCGUAAAGGGUGCGUAGGCGGUUAGGUAAGUUAGGUGUGAAAGCUACGGGCUCAACCCGUAGUUGCGCCUAAAACUACUUGACUAGAGAAUGCUAGAGGAAAGCGGAACUCAUGGUGUAGCGGUGAAAUGCGUAGAUAUCAUGAGGAACACCAGUGGCGAAGGCGGCUUUCUGGGGCAUUUCUGACGCUGAGGCACGAAAGCAUGGGGAGCAAACAGGAUUAGAUACCCUGGUAGUCCAUGCUGUAAACGAUGGUCAUUAGGUAUAGGGAGAUCGACCCUUUCUGUGCCGCAGUUAACGCGUUAAAUGACCCGCCUGGGGAGUACGAACGCAAGUUUA